This is a long non-coding RNA of Nerophis ophidion (straightnose pipefish), 1431 nucleotides long. RefSeq lists it as uncharacterized. NCBI's taxonomy places the organism in Eukaryota, Metazoa, Chordata, Actinopteri, Syngnathiformes, Syngnathidae. The transcript is spliced from 2 exons. The record is from RefSeq and is a predicted model, not a curated record.
CACACACACACACACACACACAGAUAGUUUAUCACCAACAAUGACACAACAAUGAUAACACAAGCCUUGUAAUCCGCGCCGUGGGUGGUCUUGGCAGCAGGCAGCAGAUGGAGGCAGGUUUAAGAGGAUGAAAAGUAUUAUUUAGGAGGACAAAGUUGUCCUGAAGUUGUUUUGUUGACAGAAGAAGAAGGAGCGAAGGCGAGUAGUGAUCACGUGAUCCACUUUGCGACGGAACAAGUUCCCACAGAACAUGAAUUGUUUGUCCCACUUCCUCGCUCAUUUUUACCACAAAAUGUCUUCUUUCCCCCGUCAGCGAGCAACAGGGCGGCUCCAGGUGAGCUGAGGCGGUGACUUACCGUCGUGUACAACUCGUUGACGGACAUCUUUUCCUCUUCCGCGACGACGAACAAAGUCCAACCCGGAAAUGUGGCCGCUACAGCAGGUGCAUGGCGCGCCGGUGCUCCCGGUGCUCAACUCGCCCAACUCGGACGGACCGAAGCCGAAACCCGGCAGAGUUGUUGUCGUCCGUACGGCCCUCCGUCACUUCCUGGAAAGAGGUCCACGCGUGUUGAGGUCCCGGCCCUCUGCCGCUCUCCGCCGCACUGGACUUUCCUGUCAGGUGGAUGGAAGCCGCGCGCUGUGAUUGGAGGAGGGGCACCGUGACGUCACGGAGUAAGUGGAGCGUUUGGAAGAUGACGUCAGCGUUACGCCCAUACACUCCCUGUGCAGGUAUGGGCGCUUGUUGGCCACGCCCACAGUCACCGCCCACAGGAAGGAUCUUAAGGUGGGCGGAGCCAAACAAACAUCUACCGUCGAUACCAAGGGCAUAGUAUCUUCUGAUCAGAUUGAUAUUUUUCAGUUACCCUUAUACAGAAACCAAAAUAUAUUUUGUUAUUAGAUUGUCUUGUAUUUCUACAUGUUUAUAUUUGUAUAUUUUGUUGUAUUUACAAUGUAAAAUUGUCUUACAUUAUUUGUAACAGUGCAUCCGGGAAGUAUUCACUUUUUUCACAUUUUCUUAUGUUACAGCUAAUUUAAAAAAUGUAAUGAAGUCAUUUUUGUCCUCAAAAUUCUACACACAAUACCACAUAAUGACACUACGAAAACAUUUUUUUAGUGCAGUUGACACAUUUAUCAAAGAAAUAAAAAAACGUAAAAAACACGUGUACUUAAGUAUUCACAGCCUCGGCUCACCUCAUGCAGCGCUGUGAAUACUUUCCAGAUGCACUGGAUAUAUUGUAUUCUAUUACAUUUAUAUAUUGUUAAGUCUUGUGUUUUUGAUUUUUUUUUAAUAAUGUGUUGCAUUGAUAUAUUUGUAUUGUAUUUAUGUAUUAAUAAAUUGUUCCUUAAUGUUAGAUUUAUGGUGUAUUUUCUAUAUUGCAUUUAUAGUUAUGUUCAUUUAUAUAAAAUUAAAUUGUCUUAUAUUGUCUUGUA